This 644-nucleotide long non-coding RNA is filed under the name Pan troglodytes (chimpanzee). RNAcentral's name for it is "long non-coding RNA NONPTRT015586". Lineage: Eukaryota; Metazoa; Chordata; Mammalia; Primates; Hominidae. The record is from RNAcentral.
CUGUAAUCCCAGCUACCUGAGAGGCUGAGGCAGAAGAAUAAAUGGAAUCCAGGAGAUGGAUGUUGCAGUGAGCUGAGAUUGCACCACUAUACUCCAGCCUGGGUGACAAAGCAAGAUUCUGUGUCAAAACAAAACAAAACAAAAAAGGAGGGACUCAGAGAGCCAGGGACCAGGGAAGGACAUGAAGCAGUGUUCGGAGGACAGAGAGAGAGAAUGGGGAGGGGAAGGAGCGGCACAUGGGGUUGAGCAGAGGAGAAAAUCAGAAAGAUGGCUUAGAGAAGCCAGCAGUCUGCGAGUCUGGGGAGGAUGGAGAGUGGUUUGGGGUUUUGGGUCGGGGUCUAAGGUGAUCAGAUGCAGAAGCAUUACACGGUGGCCUGGUUUCUUUACUCAGCCCCUGGGGUAGAUCCCAGCCCCCCAUGUAGGUCCCUUGGCUGGAAAAGGAAGAAGGAGUGGUCAGAUGAAUCUGAGGAGGAGCCGGAGAAGGAGCUCACCCCUGAGCCUGAGGAGACCUGUGGAGUGGAGACGCUGUGUGGGCUCAAGAUGAAGCUGAAGCAACAGCGAGUGUCACCCAUCCUCCCUGAGCACCACAAGGACUUCAACAGUCAGCUUGCUACCUGGCCAAUGACAUGGAGGAGGACGACGAG